RNAcentral lists this ribosomal RNA (1192 nucleotides) under Staphylococcus aureus. RNAcentral describes it as "partial 23S ribosomal RNA". It matches the Rfam family "Bacterial large subunit ribosomal RNA", at positions 264 to 1461 of the family's 2925-position model. Lineage: Bacteria; Bacillati; Bacillota; Bacilli; Caryophanales; Staphylococcaceae. The record is from RNAcentral.
GAGCCCAAACCAACAAGCUUGCUUGUUGGGGUUGUAGGACACUCUAUACGGAGUUACAAAGGACGACAUUAGACGAAUCAUCUGGAAAGAUGAAUCAAAGAAGGUAAUAAUCCUGUAGUCGAAAAUGUUGUCUCUCUUGAGUGGAUCCUGAGUACGACGGAGCACGUGAAAUUCCGUCGGAAUCUGGGAGGACCAUCUCCUAAGGCUAAAUACUCUCUAGUGACCGAUAGUGAACCAGUACCGUGAGGGAAAGGUGAAAAGCACCCCGGAAGGGGAGUGAAAUAGAACCUGAAACCGUGUGCUUACAAGUAGUCAGAGCCCGUUAAUGGGUGAUGGCGUGCCUUUUGUAGAAUGAACCGGCGAGUUACGAUUUGAUGCAAGGUUAAGCAGUAAAUGUGGAGCCGUAGCGAAAGCGAGUCUGAAUAGGGCGUUUAGUAUUUGGUCGUAGACCCGAAACCAGGUGAUCUACCCUUGGUCAGGUUGAAGUUCAGGUAACACUGAAUGGAGGACCGAACCGACUUACGUUGAAAAGUGAGCGGAUGAACUGAGGGUAGCGGAGAAAUUCCAAUCGAACCUGGAGAUAGCUGGUUCUCUCCGAAAUAGCUUUAGGGCUAGCCUCAAGUGAUGAUUAUUGGAGGUAGAGCACUGUUUGGACGAGGGGCCCCUCUCGGGUUACCGAAUUCAGACAAACUCCGAAUGCCAAUUAAUUUAACUUGGGAGUCAGAACAUGGGUGAUAAGGUCCGUGUUCGAAAGGGAAACAGCCCAGACCACCAGCUAAGGUCCCAAAAUAUAUGUUAAGUGGAAAAGGAUGUGGCGUUGCCCAGACAACUAGGAUGUUGGCUUAGAAGCAGCCAUCAUUUAAAGAGUGCGUAAUAGCUCACUAGUCGAGUGACACUGCGCCGAAAAUGUACCGGGGCUAAACAUAUUACCGAAGCUGUGGAUUGUCCUUUGGACAAUGGUAGGAGAGCGUUCUAAGGGCGUUGAAGCAUGAUCGUAAGGACAUGUGGAGCGCUUAGAAGUGAGAAUGCCGGUGUGAGUAGCGAAAGACGGGUGAGAAUCCCGUCCACCGAUUGACUAAGGUUUCCAGAGGAAGGCUCGUCCGCUCUGGGUUAGUCGGGUCCUAAGCUGAGGCCGACAGGCGUAGGCGAUGGAUAACAGGUUGAUAUUCCUGUACCACCUAUAAUCGUUUUA